GGGGAGGUGCCCGAGUGGUCAAAGGGAGCGGACUGUAAAUCCGUCGGCUACGCCUACGAAGGUUCAAGUCCUUCCCUCCCCACCA
Molecule: transfer RNA, 85 nt
Filed under: Nitrospirota bacterium
Lineage: Bacteria; Pseudomonadati; Nitrospirota
Also listed under: 1 other name
Description: tRNA-Tyr
Rfam family: tRNA
About the family: Transfer RNA (tRNA) molecules are approximately 80 nucleotides in length.
Source: RNAcentral